CAGCAGACACAUUCCAGCCAAUCAGCAGCAGACCCUCCCUCCCAGACCCUCACACCUCCUGGACAGCAUCCAUUUUACAUUCAUUGUGAAGCUGCAUUUUUAGUGAGCUGUCCAGGAGGUGGGAGGGUCUGGGAGGGAGGGUCUGCUGCUGAUUGGCUGGAAUGUGUCUGCUG
This 173-nucleotide microRNA precursor is filed under the name Pelobates cultripes (western spadefoot toad). The record is from RNAcentral. Lineage: Eukaryota; Metazoa; Chordata; Amphibia; Anura; Pelobatidae.